This 486-nucleotide ribosomal RNA is filed under the name uncultured bacterium. Its description in RNAcentral is "bacterial SSU rRNA". It matches the Rfam family "Bacterial small subunit ribosomal RNA", at positions 21 to 507 of the family's 1533-position model. The record is from RNAcentral.
GGCUCAGGAUGAACGCUGGCGGCGUGCUUAACACAUGCAAGUCGAACGAGGAUUUAACGGAAUGCGAUUCGUCAAAUGAAAUUAAAUCCGAGUGGCGGACGGGUGAGUAACGCGUGGAUAACCUGCCUCACACAGGGGGACAACAGCCGGAAACGGCUGCUAAUACCGCAUAACACAAGUAAUUCGCAUGAAUAACUUGCCAAAGAUUUCAUCGGUGUGAGAUGGAUCCGCGUCUGAUUAGCCAGUUGGCGGGGUAACGGCCCACCAAAGCGACGAUCAGUAGCCGACCUGAGAGGGUGACCGGCCACAUUGGGACUGAGACACGGCCCAAACUCCUACGGGAGGCAGCAGUGGGGAAUAUUGCACAAUGGGCGAAAGCCUGAUGCAGCGACGCCGCGUGAAGGAUGAAGUAUUUCGGUAUGUAAACUUCUAUCAGCAGGGAAGAAAAUGACGGUACCUGACUAAGAAGCCCCGGCUAACUACGUG